GGCUAGCUCAUAGCAAGGGCUGAAUCAGAAUCGAGCUUCCAGCAUGGCCUGGCCGUACUUGUUGCAGACGCUCUUGGUUUCCACCUCUCUUGGAGCCAGUGUGGCCCAGACAGUCACUCAGCGUCAGCAGGAACAGUCUGUGCAGAAGACAGAGUCAGCAACACUGGACUGCACCUACGACACGACUGAUACUAACUACAACUUGUUCUGGUACAAACAGCAAAGAGGACAGAUGACUUUCGUUAUUCACCAGGAAUCUUAUAUAAAGCACAAUACAAAGAAGGACCGCUUUUCUGUGAACUUCCAGAAAGCAGCUAAGUCCUUCAGCCUCGAGAUCUCAGACUUGCAGCUGGAGGAUGCUGCAACGUAUUUCUGUGCACUCAUGGAGAGGGGCACAGUGACACAGGCAACGGACAGGGGCUGGCAGAAACCUCAGAUCUCGGCGUCUGUGCAAACAUAGGAAGUGGCUAGGGUAGCAGUGGCACACAGGAAGACUUUCUUUUCUUUGGAGGAAAAAGUACUCAUGAGCAAUGUAGGAAACAUGGACGUAAUUCUAUAAACUGUAAUGCUCAAAGCAAUAAUAAA
This is a non-coding RNA of Peromyscus leucopus (white-footed mouse), 585 nucleotides long. NCBI's taxonomy places the organism in Eukaryota, Metazoa, Chordata, Mammalia, Rodentia, Cricetidae. The record is from the annotation of a RefSeq genome assembly.